CCGAGUACCGGGUCUCUCAGGCCCUUACUCCCACCCAAUGUGUACCUUACCAUUUUAUUCGUUGCUUUGGCGGGUGCGUCAACCCUUUACGGGGCGGUCCCUCGCCAAAGGAACACCUUUAAACUCUUGUCAACUGUGUUGUCUGAGAAAAAAACAAAAUAAAUUA
This 166-nucleotide unclassified non-coding RNA is filed under the name uncultured Dothideomycetes. RNAcentral's name for it is "sequence contains ITS1". Lineage: Eukaryota; Fungi; Ascomycota; Dothideomycetes. The record is from RNAcentral.